UACAGAGGUCUCGAGCGUUGUUCGGAUUUACUGGGCGUAAAGGGCGCGUAGGCGGCGAGGCGUGUCGAGUGUGAAAUCUCCGGGCUCAACCCGGAAAGUGCGCUCGAAACUGCCUUGCUUGAGGACGGUAUGGGGAAUCGGAAUAUAGGGUGUAGCGGUGAAAUGCGUUGAUAUCCUAUAGAACACCGGAGGCGAAGGCGGAUUCCUGGAACGUUACUGACGCUGAGGCGCGAAAGUCGGGGGAGCAAAC
RNAcentral lists this ribosomal RNA (250 nucleotides) under uncultured prokaryote. Its description in RNAcentral is "partial 16S ribosomal RNA". It matches the Rfam family "Bacterial small subunit ribosomal RNA", at positions 524 to 773 of the family's 1533-position model. The record is from RNAcentral.